RNAcentral lists this ribosomal RNA (670 nucleotides) under Salmonella enterica subsp. enterica. RNAcentral describes it as "bacterial SSU rRNA". It matches the Rfam family "Bacterial small subunit ribosomal RNA", at positions 852 to 1522 of the family's 1533-position model. RNAcentral also lists the same sequence under 1 other name. Lineage: Bacteria; Pseudomonadati; Pseudomonadota; Gammaproteobacteria; Enterobacterales; Enterobacteriaceae. The record is from RNAcentral.
CUAACGCGUUAAGUAGACCGCCUGGGGAGUACGGCCGCAAGGUUAAAACUCAAAUGAAUUGACGGGGGCCCGCACAAGCGGUGGAGCAUGUGGUUUAAUUCGAUGCAACGCGAAGAACCUUACCUGGUCUUGACAUCCACGGAAGUUUUCAGAGAUGAGAAUGUGCCUUCGGGAACCGUGAGACAGGUGCUGCAUGGCUGUCGUCAGCUCGUGUUGUGAAAUGUUGGGUUAAGUCCCGCAACGAGCGCAACCCUUAUCCUUUGUUGCCAGCGAUUAGGUCGGGAACUCAAAGGAGACUGCCAGUGAUAAACUGGAGGAAGGUGGGGAUGACGUCAAGUCAUCAUGGCCCUUACGACCAGGGCUACACACGUGCUACAAUGGCGCAUACAAAGAGAAGCGACCUCGCGAGAGCAAGCGGACCUCAUAAAGUGCGUCGUAGUCCGGAUUGGAGUCUGCAACUCGACUCCAUGAAGUCGGAAUCGCUAGUAAUCGUGGAUCAGAAUGCCACGGUGAAUACGUUCCCGGGCCUUGUACACACCGCCCGUCACACCAUGGGAGUGGGUUGCAAAAGAAGUAGGUAGCUUAACCUUCGGGAGGGCGCUUACCACUUUGUGAUUCAUGACUGGGGUGAAGUCGUAACAAGGUAACCGUAGGGGAACCUGCGGUUGGA